AGUCGUAACAAGGUUUCCGUAGGUGAACCUGCGGAAGGAUCAUUAAAUAAUCAAUAAUUUUGGCUUGUCCAUUAUUAUCUAUUUACUGUGAACUGUAUUAUUACUUGGCGCCUGAGGAAUGUUCCAAUGCUAUAAGGAUAGGCAUUGGAAAUGUUAACCGAGCCAUAAUCAAGCUUAGGCUUGGUAUCCUAUUAUUAUUUACCAAAAGAAUUCAGAAUUAAUAUUGUAACAUAGACCUAAAAAAUCUAUAAAACAACUUUUAACAACGGAUCUCUUGGUUCUCGCAUCGAUGAAGAACGUAGCAAAGUGCGAUAACUAGUGUGAAUUGCAUAUUCAGUGAAUCAUCGAGUCUUUGAACGCAACUUGCGCUCAUUGGUAUUCCAAUGAGCACGCCUGUUUCAGUAUCAAAACAAACCCUCUAUCCAACAUUUUUGUUGAAUAGGAUGACUGAGAGUCUCUUGAUCUAUUCUGAUCUCGAAGCUCUUGAAAUGUACAAAGGCCUGAUCUUGUUUGAAUGCCUGAACUUUUUUUUAAUAUAAAGAGAAGCUCUUGCGGUAAACUGUGCUGGGGCCUCCCAAAUAACACAUCUUUAAAUUUGAUCUGAAAUCAGGUGGGACUACCCGCUGAACUUAAGCAUAUCAAUAAGCGGAGGAA
This 654-nucleotide unclassified non-coding RNA is filed under the name Mucor circinelloides. Its description in RNAcentral is "sequence contains 18S rRNA gene, ITS1, 5.8S rRNA gene, ITS2, 28S rRNA gene". The stretch from base 255 to 407 matches the Rfam family "5.8S ribosomal RNA". Lineage: Eukaryota; Fungi; Mucoromycota; Mucoromycetes; Mucorales; Mucoraceae. The record is from RNAcentral.